UCUGCUGCUCUCUGACUUCUACAACAUGGACAGCAUCAUCAUCAUCAUCAUCAAACAUGGCCUCCUCAGCUUUUCAGCAUUACUGCUCUGGAUUACAGGUCUGACUGAUGGCAGUGAUGUCACCCAGACCCCCAAACUGUGGAAAUACAACGGUGACAAUGCAACUAUAGACUGCAAUCACACCAAGGGUGGUGGCUUCUACCAGAUGUACUGGUACAGACAACUCCCAGGGGAAGGAAUGAAACAAAUUGUUUUCACCAGUACUGCAUCCAAACCCAACUAUCAGCCCGACUUCAAAGAGGAGAAAUUCCCAGUGACCAAGCCUGAUGCUGCCAGUGGGACUUUGACAGUGAAGGAUUUGGUAGCAGAAGAUAAAGGCUUGUAUUUCUGUGCUGUCACACACUAA
Myripristis murdjan (pinecone soldierfish) is the source of this 406-nucleotide non-coding RNA. The record is from the annotation of a RefSeq genome assembly. Lineage: Eukaryota; Metazoa; Chordata; Actinopteri; Holocentriformes; Holocentridae.